This 804-nucleotide ribosomal RNA is filed under the name uncultured bacterium. RNAcentral's name for it is "bacterial SSU rRNA". It matches the Rfam family "Bacterial small subunit ribosomal RNA", at positions 73 to 873 of the family's 1533-position model. The record is from RNAcentral.
ACGGACUUCGGUCUGGUGGCGAGUGGCGAACGGGUGAGUAAUAUAUCGGAACGUACCUUUCAGUGGGGGAUAACGUAGCGAAAGUUACGCUAAUACCGCAUAUUCUGUGAGCAGGAAAGCAGGGGAUCGCAAGACCUUGCGCUGAUUGAGCGGCCGAUAUCAGAUUAGCUAGUUGGUGAGGUAAAGGCUCACCAAGGCGACGAUCUGUAGCGGGUCUGAGAGGAUGAUCCGCCACACUGGAACUGAGACACGGUCCAGACUCCUACGGGAGGCAGCAGUGGGGAAUUUUGGACAAUGGGGGCAACCCUGAUCCAGCCAUGCCGCGUGAGUGAAGAAGGCCUUCGGGUUGUAAAGCUCUUUCGGCCGGGAAGAAAUCGCAUUGGUUAAUACCCAGUGUGGAUGACGGUACCGGAAUAAGAAGCACCGGCUAACUACGUGCCAGCAGCCGCGGUAAUACGUAGGGUGCGAGCGUUAAUCGGAAUUACUGGGCGUAAAGCGUGCGCAGGCGGUUUUGUAAGACAGGCGUGAAAUCCCCGGGCUCAACCUGGGAACUGCGUUUGUGACUGCAAGGCUAGAGUAUGGCAGAGGGGGGUGGAAUUCCACGUGUAGCAGCGAAAUGCGUAGAGAUGUGGAGGAACACCGAUGGCGAAGGCAGCCCCCUGGGCCAAUACUGACGCUCAUGCACGAAAGCGUGGGUAGCAAACAGGAUUAGAUACCCUGGUAGUCCACGCCCUAAACGAUGUCAACUAGGUGUUGGGUGGGUAAAACCAUUUAGUACCGGAGCUAACGCGUGAAGUGACCGCC